RNAcentral lists this ribosomal RNA (1458 nucleotides) under uncultured Bordetella sp. RNAcentral describes it as "partial 16S-23S ribosomal RNA intergenic spacer". It matches the Rfam family "Bacterial small subunit ribosomal RNA". Lineage: Bacteria; Pseudomonadati; Pseudomonadota; Betaproteobacteria; Burkholderiales; Alcaligenaceae. The record is from RNAcentral.
GCCCGAUCAUGGCUCAGAUUGGAUCGCUGGCGGGAUGCUUUAUAUGCAAGUCGAACGGCAGCACGGACUUCGGUCUGGUGGCGAGUGGCGAACGGGUGAGUAAUGUAUCGGAACGUGCCUAGUAGCGGGGGAUAACUACGCGAAAGCGUAGCUAAUAUCGCACAUGCCCUUCGGGGGAAAGCGGGGGGACCUUUCGGGCCUCGCACUAUUAGAGCGGGCUGAUAUCGGAUUAGGCUUAGCGGAGGGGUAAUGGCUCACCAAGGCGACGAUCCGUAGCUGGUUUGAGAGGACGACUCAGCUACACUAAGACUAGAGACACGGCCCAGACUCCUACGGGAGGCAGCAGUGGGGAAUUUUGGACAAUGUGAAACCCUGAUCCAGCCAUCCUGUGUGCGAUGAAGGCUCAACAAAGCACUUGCAGGAAGGAAAUGGCAUUGGAUAAUACCCCGUGCAACUGACGGUACCUGCAGAAUAAGCACCGGCCAAUCCAUGCCAGCAGCCGCGGUACAUGAAAAGCGUUAAUCGGAAAGACGGGCGGGCGCGCAGGCGGUUCUGGAAAAAGAUGUGAAAUCCUGAGCCAACUUCUUGGAACCGCAUUUUUAAUAACCCUUACCGAGCAGAGGUGUGUGCUGAGGGGAGGUGGAAUUCCGCGUGUAGGCAGGGAAAUGGGCGAUAGUGGAGGGAACACCGAUGGCGAAGGCAGCCUCCUGGGAUAACACUGACGCUCAUGCACGAAAGCGUGGGGAGCAAACAGGAUUAGAUACUCCUGGUAGUCUCACGCCCUAAACGAUGUCAACUAGCUGUUAGCCUUCGGCCUUGGUAGUGCAGCUAACGUGAAGUUGACCGCCUGGGGAGUACGGUCGCAAGAUUAAAACUUCAGCGAAUUGACGGGGACCCGCACAUGCGGUGGAUGAUGUGGAUUAAUUCGAUGCAACGCGAAAACUCCACAUACCCUUGACAUGUCUGGAAUCCCGAAGAGAUUUGGGAGGUCGGGUGAGGAACCGGAAACACAGGUGCUGCAUGGCUGUCGUCAGCUCGUGUCGAGAUGUUGGGUUAAGUCCUGCAACGAGCGCAACCUUGUCAUUAGUUGCUACGAAAGGGCACUCUAAUGAGACUGCAGGUGACAAACCGGAGGAAGGUGGGAUGACGUCAAGUCCUCAUGGCUCUUAUGGGUAGGGCUUCACACGUCAUACAAUGGCGACAGAGGGUCGCCAACCCGCGAGGGGAGCCAAUCCCAGAAACCCGAUCGUAGUCCGGAUCGCAGUCUGCAACUCGACUGCGUGAAGUCGGAAUCGCUAGUAAUCGCGGAUCAGCAGGUUGCGUGAAUACGUUCCCGGUCUUGUACACACCGCCCGUCACACCACGGGAGUGGGUUUUACCAGAAGUAGUUAGCCUAACCGUAAGGAGGGCGAUUACCAUGGUAGGAUUCAUGACUGGGGUGAAGUCGUAACAAGGUAG